CCUGGCUCUGCAGAAAAACAGGACAGACAUGCGGCGCAUGCUCUGAAAGUAAUCCACAUUGAACCAUCAUAGAAGCAAUACCUCUUGCAGCUACCUGGGAACACAGCGGAUACCUCUUGACAUUCUGAUUUUGCAGAGUGGAAGCUCCCCCCACUUUGCGUAUCCUGAAAACCUGAAGGGCACACGUGCCGAACGGGCAACGGCUGCCCGGUGGAAUGAGAUGACCCGAGUGCUCCAAGGCAAGGGCUUGCAGCAUGCAGCACGUGAAAUGAGGCAUUCGGAUUUUCUGAACAUGCCAAUCGAUGUCAGAAAGCGAUAUGACACUGCAUCUCACAGAAAAGAUACAAAGGUUCAUAA
Molecule: long non-coding RNA, 357 nt
Organism: Anguilla rostrata (American eel)
Lineage: Eukaryota; Metazoa; Chordata; Actinopteri; Anguilliformes; Anguillidae
Exons: 3
Source: RefSeq, a predicted model, not a curated record